GUCUAGAGGCAUUUUUGAAUGGAAGAGACCAGAGUAAUUCUGUGAUUUAUGCAUGGUGUUUUUCCUCAGCAGCUGAUAUAGCCCAGUCACUUUUUCCCAG
This is a small nucleolar RNA of Suncus etruscus (white-toothed pygmy shrew), 100 nucleotides long. RefSeq annotates it as small nucleolar RNA SNORA84. The transcript has a single exon. The record is from RefSeq and is a predicted model, not a curated record. Lineage: Eukaryota; Metazoa; Chordata; Mammalia; Eulipotyphla; Soricidae.